RNAcentral lists this long non-coding RNA (241 nucleotides) under Homo sapiens (human). RNAcentral describes it as "HSALNT0215835". Lineage: Eukaryota; Metazoa; Chordata; Mammalia; Primates; Hominidae. The record is from RNAcentral.
AGACAGACGAACGGGGGCCUCCCGGCUUCUCAAAUCACACCAGGGGGAGCCUGGAUCCAGGACGCUGUACUGAACAAGCUCCCAGGGGUGUGGGUGCUGUGACUGCCUGGGGAUCCUGGGUCACCUCUCCCCACCCCACUCUGAUUGGGCCCAGGAGAGCCCAGAAGCUGCAGUCGCCUGGAGAAGCCGGAACCCAGGCACUGCCGGUCAUCGUGCCCAGCCACAGGCUCCUGCGAAGCUC